AUCUACUGUUUAUCUGAACGUGCCCGAUCCCGUCCGAUCUCAGAAGCUAAGCAGGGUCGGGCCGGGUUAGUACUUGGAUGGGAGACCACCUAGGAAGACCAGGUGCUGUAGGCG
Molecule: ribosomal RNA, 114 nt
Filed under: Pteropus alecto (black flying fox)
Lineage: Eukaryota; Metazoa; Chordata; Mammalia; Chiroptera; Pteropodidae
Source: RNAcentral